GAUGAAUGCUGGCGGCGUGCCUAACACAUGCAAGUCGAGCGGCAGCGAGGGGUGCUUGCACCCUGUCGGCGAGCGGCGAACGGCUGAGUAACGCGUAGGAAUUUGCCCCAAAGUGAGGAAUAACUGCCCGAAAGGGUAGCUAAUGCCGCAUAUGGUCUUCGGAUUAAAGGAUUUAUCCGCUUUGGGAGAAGCCUGCGUCGGAUUAGGUUGUUGGUAGGGUAAUGGCCUACCAAGCCGACGAUCCAUAGCUGGUCUGAGAGGAUGAUCAGCCAGACUGGAACUGAGACACGGUCCAGACUCCUACGGGAGGCAGCAGUGAGGAAUCUUCCACAAUGGGCGAAAGCCUGAUGGAGCAACGCCGCGUGAAGGAUGAAGGCCUUCGGGUUGUAAACUUCUUUUAUGAGUGAAGAAUAUGACGGUAACUCAUGAAUAAGCACCGGCUAACUACGUG
Molecule: ribosomal RNA, 451 nt
Filed under: uncultured bacterium
Lineage: Bacteria
Description: partial 16S ribosomal RNA
Rfam family: Bacterial small subunit ribosomal RNA
Source: RNAcentral